AAACUCAAAUGAAUUGACGGGGGCCCGCACAAGCGGUGGAGCAUGUGGUUUAAUUCGAUGCAACGCGAAGAACCUUACCUACUCUUGACAUCCAGAGAACUUAGCAGAGAUGCAUUGGUGCCUUCGGGAACUCUGAGACAGGUGCUGCAUGGCUGUCGUCAGCUCGUGUUGUGAAAUGUUGGGUUAAGUCCCGCAACGAGCGCAACCCUUAUCCUUUGUUGCCAGCGGUCAGGCCGGGAACUCAAAGGAGACUGCCAGUGAUAAACUGGAGGAAGGUGGGGAUGACGUCAAGUCAUCAUGGCCCUUACGAGUAGGGCUACACACGUGCUACAAUGGCGCAUACAAAGAGAAGCGACCUCGCGAGAGCAAGCGGACCUCAUAAAGUGCGUCGUAGUCCGGAUUGGAGUCUGCAACUCGACUCCAUGAAGUCGGAAUCGCUAGUAAUCGUGGAUCAGAAUGCCACGGUGAAUACGUUCCCGGGCCUUGUACACACCGCCCGUCACACCAUGGGAGUGGGUUGCAAAAGAAGUAGGUAGCUUAACCUUCGGGAGGGCGCUUACCACUUGUGAUUCAUGCACUGGGGUGAAGUCGUAACAAGGUA
Molecule: ribosomal RNA, 601 nt
Filed under: Enterobacter hormaechei
Lineage: Bacteria; Pseudomonadati; Pseudomonadota; Gammaproteobacteria; Enterobacterales; Enterobacteriaceae
Description: bacterial SSU rRNA
Rfam family: Bacterial small subunit ribosomal RNA
Source: RNAcentral